AGAGUGGAGUGAACAGGGCCAGCCUAAAGCAACACUUCAGGGAGCUCCACAUGAAGGCUUUGAUGCCAACCAGAGUAGGUGGAACCCGGUGGCUACCACAUCUCUUCAAAGCACUUGACCAUUUUCUCAGGGGAUAUGCUGGCAUUGUACGCCACUUGGAGAAGUCCCAGGAGGCCACGAACGUCAAUGCUGUUCUGAGGGCAAAACCAAGGGGUUCCUCAACAUAGGCAAGGAUGGUGGAGUGCUCAGGUUUUGCUGCCUUCUCCAUGACACCAUCUAUCAACUGAGCAACCUCUCCAAGUCACUGCAGAGGUCAGUGUCAACCGUGGCUGAAGCUCAGAGCUGCCUUUCCUCCACUCAGGCUGUCAUAGAAAAGUACAAGUCAAGACCUGGGCCUAAGCUGAGAGCAGUGCUGGACACAGACACUUAUGAGGG
Etheostoma spectabile (orangethroat darter) is the source of this 435-nucleotide long non-coding RNA. RefSeq lists it as uncharacterized. The transcript has 3 exons. The record is from RefSeq and is a predicted model, not a curated record. Lineage: Eukaryota; Metazoa; Chordata; Actinopteri; Perciformes; Percidae.